GACGGAGGACCCAAGCGUUAUUCGGAAUUACUGGGCGUAAAGAGUUGCGUAGGUGGUUUUUUAAGCAAGGCAUGAAAUCGUACGGCUCAACCGUACAACCGUGUUUUGAACUGAAAGACUAGAGUGUGGCAGAGGUAGCUGGAAUUUCCGGUGUAGGAGUGAAAUCCGUAGAUAUCGGAAGGAACACCAACGGCGUAGGCAGGCUACUGGGCCAUUACUGACACUGAGGCACGAAAGCGUGGGGAGCGAACGGG
RNAcentral lists this unclassified non-coding RNA (254 nucleotides) under uncultured Patescibacteria group bacterium. Its description in RNAcentral is "contains 16S-23S intergenic spacer region". It matches the Rfam family "Bacterial small subunit ribosomal RNA", at positions 524 to 776 of the family's 1533-position model. The record is from RNAcentral.